Molecule: unclassified non-coding RNA, 2595 nt
Filed under: Metarhizium brunneum
Lineage: Eukaryota; Fungi; Ascomycota; Sordariomycetes; Hypocreales; Clavicipitaceae
Source: RNAcentral
CCCCAAUAUCAGCGCAUCCCGUUUCGCGGGGCGGGUGUUGGGGUUAGAGCCACCGAGUAGUGGCCGCAGGCUUGAGGAGAGCCGCCGAGUGGUGGUUCGGGAGGGAAAAUCUGCCAAGCUCAAAGGUCAGGCAAGCGAGAGGUUUACCGGGUCGGAAAGUCGGGCGAGUAAAAAGAUAUACCAAGUCCAAAAUACUGCCGGCAACAUACCCGGGACCCCGAGUAAGUCGGGGAAGAAGUUGGCGGAUGUUUUCCCAGCCAACUCAACUUUGACCAAUUUACCUGCCCGAGCUCACGGGUAGGCUGCGGUUAAUUUUUGGACUUGGCGGAUUUACUUGAAUCAAUCCACAGGAAGUUACCUGCCGAAUUACCUGGGCUCCCGGGUAGGCCAUAGUUGACUUGUGGACUUGGCGGAUUUUUUCCAACCUACUUCCCCGACUAUAACCUGGGAUUUUCCCGACCAUAGCUCACGGGUAGGUUAGUUGUGAUUUUUGGACUUGGUGAAAUUUCUACUUUCCUGCCAAGUCUAGCCUACCCGGGAGCCCAGGCAAGUCGGGCAGGUAAAUUCCGCCAACCCGGCAGGGAACUGAUUGCAAAUCAAUUCAACCAAAUCUGCCAAGUCCACAGAUAAACUAUAGCCUACCCGGUAGGCCUGUAGAUUUCCCGCGCGAUUUCCUGCGAAGACCAAAAAGUUAGGUGUUUUGGUACUUAAUUUAUAUAGAGAUGAGUUGAUUUUUUUGUUUUUAUAUAUAAAUAAAUUUUGCGGAAAAUAAAAAAUAAACCACGAGAGCCUAGUAGCGGAGGCGGGCCCUCGAGGUGGUCGGUAGGUAUAUAAGAGAGAGGGCUGGACACGCGUCGCGUCGCGUAUUUCCACCGCAGCCAAUACCUUUAGCUUUAGGGUAGGCUGCUUGUUUAGAGGCGCGCUGGAUUAGAUGGUCUCUCAAGUGAGGGGAUUUCUCUGCUGGCAGUUGCCUAUAAUCCGGGAGUCCGUGGUGGUAAAAUCAGCUAUAAAGCUUGUGUGUAUGUGUGUGCCGGGGCCCUGUAAGUCCCGACCAGGAACCUUACAGGUCACGUGCCGAUACGAUAAGACAGAUAAGAUAUACAGCACGUGCUAGUACACGUGCCAGUAUAAGUAACGAGACGAUAAGAUCGAUAAGAUACCUGCACGUGCCUAGUCACGGAGACUUACACGUGUCCCGCCGCCAAGGUCCCCAAGGUCCCCGAGGUUGCCGACCUCGCCGACUACUCCUGGUGUAAUAUGCCGGUACAGUUGCAUAUAAUUCCCUACUAGUCUCAAUAAUAGUACACUCGUUUAUCGCGAUGCACUUACUUGUGGUGCGGCUGUGCGGCUGUGCUGACGUACUUGUGGUAGUGCACUUACUCUACAAUAGUGCUGGUACUUGCGGUCACAUACAAUUUCCCAGUAUUUUGGCGUAGUUGUGGUCGUGGUGGUGCAGUUACAGCAGUGCACUUACCCUGUAGUACUGCUGGUACCGGCCACCGUCGCGUGCGCGCGGCUGCCGUCGGCCGUGGUGGAGGGCUACCCGGGACCACGGUGCAAUUUUCCUUUUUUUCCAUUUUUUCAAAAUCGACGACCAAAAGGUUGGUAGGUCUGGGUUGCCUUGCUGGCCAAUAGAGAUUUGUACGGCGCUACUAUAGGGUAGGUACAGGGUAGGCUGUGCCGGUACUUGCGGUCGCACACAAAUCCCUAGCAGCCUGAAGUACCCCCGCGCGCGGGCAGCUUCAAACCGCUAUAGCUGCUCCCAGCGGCAUCGCAGACAACUAUGAGGGCCACCAUUCGAUUCGUCUCGCCGAGCUGCAUCGAUUGAGCCCGGGUUGCCAAAAAGUCGGGUGUUUUGGUAUUUGAUUUGUAUGGGCGUGAGUCGAUUUUUUUGUUUUCCCAUACAAAUGAAUUUUGCGGAAAAUAAAAAAUGGACCACGAGCGCCCGGUGGCGGAGGUGGACCCUCGAGGUGGUCGGUGGGUAUGUGAGAAGGGGGCGUCGAAAGAUGCCGGGACAGCUGGGUCUUCGCUGAAAGGCAGGAUUUCCGGUGAGUCACCGCCCUCUCUGUACCAUAUCUUGCCGAGCCCCAGUGCUUGAGUGGCCUCCUGAACACGCCUGUGGAAGGUUUCUUUUACAGGCUGGGAGGUCACACUGGGGAUUCAAACUCCACGAAGUCGGCGGCUACGGCCGUGCGGCGUACUGGUUAUACCUCGUGGCAGUGGGAGGCACCCGCCUCUUACCGCUCAGGAGAUGGGUUCUGUGGGCUGCUGGCCGCUGGCCAACAUGCCGUAAAUCAGAAUAACGGGAGGCAACCACGGGUAGCUGACGCCGAAAUGGCAGAGGCUGCACGGAGCGUCCUCCUCUUAGGGCACCUAUACCGCACUCUACGGUGCGUGUGGACGGCUGCGCCUAGGGAAUUGAGAGGGGGAAAGCGGAUUUGCCGCUGGGCGGUCUCUCCCGGUCAAACGGGCAGGGCACCUCCCGGCGCGCAGCACCCUUUCGAGUGGGGGAAAGGUGUGCCGACCAGUAACUUGGACUAUUCUCUCCGGCGCCCUUAACAGGGCGUCGGUAGGCCAACCCCGGCGAACGAUAGU